Molecule: ribosomal RNA, 250 nt
Filed under: uncultured prokaryote
Description: partial 16S ribosomal RNA
Rfam family: Bacterial small subunit ribosomal RNA
Source: RNAcentral
UACAUAGGGGGCGAGCGUUAUCCGGAAUUAUUGGGCGUAAAGCGUGCGUAGGCGGUUUGUUAAGUCGGAGGUCAAAUGCUGAGGCUCAACCUCAGUACGCUUCCGAUACUGGCUCACUAGAGUAUGGUAGAGGUAAGUGGAAUUCCAUGUGUAGCGGUAAAAUGCGUAGAUAUAUGGAGGAACACCAGUGGCGAAGGCGGCUUACUAGGCCAGCACUGACGCUGAGGCACGAAAGCGUGGGUAGCAAACA